Molecule: long non-coding RNA, 221 nt
Filed under: Ricinus communis (castor bean)
Lineage: Eukaryota; Viridiplantae; Streptophyta; Magnoliopsida; Malpighiales; Euphorbiaceae
Description: long non-coding RNA (RCOM_LNC003226)
Source: RNAcentral
AAUAUUUGGGCUGAAAUCUCUUAUUUAAGUUCAAAACAAUGUUAUUUCCUAUUUCUCUUAUGUGGCGGCUAGGUUUAAUAGUUUUACUAGGGUUUCUUAUGUUAGGUGGCUAUAAAAACGCCCCUUAAGGUGUGUUUUAGGGAUUCGAAUUUUGAUUAAAAUUAUAGUAGUUGUUUCCUUUGCAUAUUUGCUUGAAUUCUUGAAUUCUUGUUGAAUACAUA